AUCCCCGCUGUAGCGGCGACGUCCUCCCUUGCAUUCCUCUUCAGUCGUUGGCCCAAGAGCAACGUCACCGGCCUUGGCCGCCCGCGGGUUUCCUGUAUUGCGUACCUACCGGAAGGAAUUCGGACGUCGCAACGACCGACGUUCUCCCGGCGCUGUGGCUGCCCUCGGGUGGGCACGGCGUGGGGUGAACCGCGAAGGCGAGUUCGUGCUCCGAGUCGCAGCCAAGCGACGCGUCUCGGGCCACGAGCUGCUGCCUGAGCUCUCGGAUGCUGUGCACCGUGAGGGCAGGGGUUGCUCGACGACCUCCGUUUGCCCGAACUCGGCGUCAAUCGCCCGCACCGAACGACGGCCGUCGUCGCCUCGAGGCUGCCGCGCCCCGUCGGGGCUGCCGGGCUCGUGCGACGCCGGCGUCGGUUAGGAAUGCU
RNAcentral lists this unclassified non-coding RNA (425 nucleotides) under Sphinctanthus sp. Holm-Nielsen et al. 2174. RNAcentral's name for it is "partial external transcribed spacer". Lineage: Eukaryota; Viridiplantae; Streptophyta; Magnoliopsida; Gentianales; Rubiaceae. The record is from RNAcentral.